Molecule: long non-coding RNA, 1365 nt
Organism: Microplitis mediator
Lineage: Eukaryota; Metazoa; Arthropoda; Insecta; Hymenoptera; Braconidae
Exons: 3
Source: RefSeq, a predicted model, not a curated record
GGAAUUUUGAUAAGCUAACCUAAAAUAAAUAUGUUAUGGCAUUUAGUCAAGUAACAAUUGUUGCAAUUGUGACUGACAUUUAUAGAAUAUUUUCACUUUUCACAAUUCGUGAGCGUGAGUGAUCCAUCUCUUGUACGCAGAUAUAUAUAUAAAACUUUUAUUUUCGUUUUAUCUCGUACAAGUUAUUUUAUCCAAACAAUUGUUAGAUUAUAUAAAUUCCACGUUCAACCAGUAAUUGGAACGGUUAUCGAAAGUUUUAAGGAUAAAAAAAAACGUUAAUUCAAAAAUAAUGGAAGACAUUGCAAAAGAAUGUAGUUGCAUUGAAGAAUGUCACAGUAAAAGUAAAUACCCAGGCGUCUAUAUUAAAAGCGACUGUCGUAGCUUUGAAAAAAAUGUUAUAAGGCUUGACCGCUACGUGAAAUGCAGAUCCUACCUUAAAUCUAAUCCUCCGGAUGAACCAAAUAUAGAUUCCCAAUUGAAAUGGAUCACCUUUACUAUAUCAGUACUGAUCCAGCAGAUAUAUAUCAUAAAUUCACGUUUAGAAGAAUGUACUUAUGCCAAUCAGUUCGUCAAGAAUACGGAUUAUGGAAAAAAGUACAUGGAUUUCAGGGAAGAAAAUUCUGAAAUCGUGAAUAAAAUAAUGAGUAUAGGUGUGGAAAAUAUGGACAAUGUACAGAAAAAUGCUUCAUACUAUAUUGACACAUACUUACAGUAAUAAUAAUUAUUAUAAUUACCUACCUAAUACUAUCAUUCUAAUUAAUUUUGUAUUGAUAAAUUCUUGUAAUGAUUAUUAAUUAAGUAACGAAGUAAGAGAGAAUUCAAUUAUAUUAUCUACGAUAAUAAAUUUUUUAUUUUGACUAUUUGAAAUAGUAGCAAAAUUUGUCAGUACAACAAUAAUUCGCGCCCCUAAUACCAAAAUAUUAUUUGCCUCUUUGGUAUUCGAAUAGAGACAGCGAUAUUACUAUCUCUUUCUACCUUUAAUUAAUCAUUUGAAAAUUACUUACCGUAGUUAUACGGAUAAAAUGCCGUAAAUUAAGGUAAUUACCGCAAUUCGGAUCCACUAGGGUACCAACUAGUUUGUAGGGUAGAGUUUCUACAACCCUUACAAAAAACUUCACCGUCACAUUCCGAGUUUAGUUGAAGCAAAAAUUAAUUACAAAUUACUUAUUUUAACGAAAGAUCGAUGGCACGUUAAAUAAAUUAUUUAAUAGCAAUAAUAAAAUUUAUUUAAUUAAAGUGCUUUAAUUAUUAUCAUUAUGAUUUUAAAAUGCAAGUGGUUGCUGUUCAAAAGCUUCUACAAUAUAAUUCUCUGUAAUGAGCGACAAAAAUAAUUUUAUAUUUAUAUCAUAUAUAUAUUUUUAAAUC